AAUCGGGACUUCACUCCCAACCCCUGUGAACAUACCUUAUGUUGCCUCGGCGGAUCAGCCCGCGCCCCGUAAAAAGGGACGGCCCGCCGCAGGAACCCUAAACUCUGUUUUUAGUGGAACUUCUGAGUAUAAAAAACAAAUAAAUCAAAACUUUCAACAACGGAUCUCUUGGUUCUGGCAUCGAUGAAGAACGCAGCAAAAUGCGAUAAGUAAUGUGAAUUGCAGAAUUCAGUGAAUCAUCGAAUCUUUGAACGCACAUUGCGCCCGCCAGUAUUCUGGCGGGCAUGCCUGUUCGAGCGUCAUUUCAACCCUCAAGCCCAGCUUGGUGUUGGGAGCUGCAGUCCUGCUGCACUCCCCAAAUACAUUGGCGGUCACGUCGAGCUUCCAUAGCGUAGUAAUUUACACAUCGUUACUGGUAAUCGUCGCGGCCACGCCGUUAAACCCCAACUUCUGAAUGUUGACCUCGGAUCAGGUAGGAAUACCCGCUGAACUUAAGCAUAUCAAUAAGCGGAGGAA
Molecule: ribosomal RNA, 516 nt
Filed under: Fusarium graminearum
Lineage: Eukaryota; Fungi; Ascomycota; Sordariomycetes; Hypocreales; Nectriaceae
Description: eukaryotic LSU rRNA
Rfam family: 5.8S ribosomal RNA (bases 149-302)
Source: RNAcentral